RNAcentral lists this unclassified non-coding RNA (204 nucleotides) under uncultured fungus. RNAcentral describes it as "sequence contains ITS1". The record is from RNAcentral. Lineage: Eukaryota; Fungi.
UUGACUAGUUUAUUUGUUUCUCAGACGUCACGGUUGACAAUAGUUUUGGGGUGUCCCCCCGACGAGUCCCCCACAGGGCCGGCAGGCCCUGGAGAUCGACCCCGCCGAGGCAACGAAAAAAUGGUAGGUACACAAAGGGUGGGAGUAAGGGCCCAGAGGACCCGGUACUCGGUAAUGAUCCUUCCGCAGGUUCACCUACGGAAA